AGAGUUUGAUCAUGGCUCAGAUUGAACGCUGGCGGUAUGCUUUACACAUGCAAGUCGAACGGGCUUUGGGGCUUGCUCCAAAGUUAGUGGCGAACGGGUGAGUAAUAUAUCGGAACAUGUCCGGAAGUGGGGGAUAACGUAGCGAAAGUUACGCUAAUACCGCAUAUGCCCUGAGGGGGAAAGGGGGGGAUCGCAAGACCUCUCGCUUUCGGAGUGGCCGAUAUCGGAUUAGCUAGAUGGUGAGGUAAAGGCUCACCAUGGCGACGAUCCGUAGCUGGUCUGAGAGGACGACCAGCCACACUGGAACUGAGACACGGUCCAGACUCCUACGGGAGGCAGCAGUGGGGAAUUUUGGACAAUGGGCGCAAGCCUGAUCCAGCCAUACCGCGUGAGUGAAGAAGGCCUUCGGGUUGUAAAGCUCUUUCAGCCGGAAAGAAAUCGCACUGGUUAACACCUUGUGUGGAUGACGGUACCGGAAGAAGAAGCACCGGCUAACUACGUGCCAGCAGCCGCGGUAAU
RNAcentral lists this ribosomal RNA (519 nucleotides) under uncultured bacterium. RNAcentral describes it as "bacterial SSU rRNA". It matches the Rfam family "Bacterial small subunit ribosomal RNA", at positions 8 to 524 of the family's 1533-position model. The record is from RNAcentral.